GGCUGCUCCUAGUACGAGAGGACCGGAGUGGACGCAUCACUGGUGUUCGGGUUGUCAUGCCAAUGGCACUGCCCGGUAGCUAAAUGCGGAAGAGAUAAGUGCUGAAAGCAUCUAAGCACGAAACUUGCCCCGAGAUGAGUUCUCCCUGAGCCUUUAAGGCUCCUGAAGGAACGUUGAAGACGACGACGUUGAUAGGUCGGGUGUGUAAGCGCAGCGAUGCGUUGAGCUAACCGAUACUAAUGAACCGUGAGGCUUAACCUU
Molecule: ribosomal RNA, 261 nt
Filed under: Enterobacter sichuanensis
Lineage: Bacteria; Pseudomonadati; Pseudomonadota; Gammaproteobacteria; Enterobacterales; Enterobacteriaceae
Description: partial 23S ribosomal RNA
Rfam family: Bacterial large subunit ribosomal RNA
Source: RNAcentral